RNAcentral lists this ribosomal RNA (705 nucleotides) under Triticum aestivum (bread wheat). RNAcentral describes it as "partial small subunit ribosomal RNA". The record is from RNAcentral. Lineage: Eukaryota; Viridiplantae; Streptophyta; Magnoliopsida; Poales; Poaceae.
AUGGCGCCCACGCCCAACUUCCUCUUCGGCUCUGGCCCAGAGGACACGUCGGCCCAUGCCAUCGCGUCGGACCUCUCCGACGCGCGGGUGCGCCGGCAGGCGGCGUCCGGGGAGAGGAGGCGGCAGGCGGCCUCCCGCGGCGGCGGCGGGGUGCCGCCCAGGAAGACCCCACAGCGCGGCCUCGGUGUGGCGGAGCUCGAGCGCCUGCGCUGCGGCGGCUGGGCGCCGCCCAGGAAAACCCCGCAGCGCGGCCUCAGCAUGUCGGAGCUCGAGCGCCCGCGCUGCGGCAGCGUCGAUCCGCUCCAAUACCCGAAUGUCGCCGCCAUGGCCGCCAUGCUGGAGGCCGCCACCGCCAACCUGCAGGCGCAAGGCAACUCCGUCGUCGUGCAGCAGACGAUGAUGGGCUUGGCAGAUAGAAGAACACGGCCCCCUUCUGCCGCCAAUGCCACCAACGCGUCAUACUACUCAAUCCACUAUGUCGCCGCCACCAUCACCAUGAUCGCCGCUCGUAAGGAGACGGCCGGAGAAGGGUUCUCGGUGGCACCGGAGGGGAGGAAGGAGGUGCGGGAGAUUGAGUUCUUCCCGACGGGGGUCAGCAGCCACGGCGGCGGUCCCGACGAGUCCGAGCUGCGCAGGACGCGGCCCUUGUCCUCCUCGCCGCCCGGCGGCGUAGGUGGCUCCCUGGACCUGUCCCUCAGGCUCUAG